Molecule: non-coding RNA, 30 nt
Filed under: Rattus norvegicus (Norway rat)
Lineage: Eukaryota; Metazoa; Chordata; Mammalia; Rodentia; Muridae
Source: RNAcentral
UGUUCUUUUGUUGUGCGGUGGUUUUUAAAU